CAGUAGCCGCGGGAAUACAGAGGGUGCGAGCGUUAAUCGGAUUUACUGGUCGUAAAGCGUGCGUAGGCGGCUUCUUAAGUCGGAUGUGAAAUCCCUGAGCUUAACUUAGGAAUUGCAUUCGAUACUGGGAAGCUAGAGUAUGGGAGAGGAUGGUAGAAUUCCAGGUGUAGCGGUGAAAUGCGUAGAGAUCUGGAGGAAUACCGAUGGCGAAGGCAGCCAUCUGGCCUAAUACUGACGCUGAGGUACGAAAGCAUGGGGAGCAAACAGGAUUAGAUACCCCUGUAGUCCCUGUCUCUUAUAC
RNAcentral lists this ribosomal RNA (301 nucleotides) under uncultured bacterium. RNAcentral describes it as "partial 16S ribosomal RNA". It matches the Rfam family "Bacterial small subunit ribosomal RNA", at positions 509 to 807 of the family's 1533-position model. The record is from RNAcentral.